This 492-nucleotide ribosomal RNA is filed under the name uncultured bacterium. RNAcentral describes it as "partial 16S ribosomal RNA". It matches the Rfam family "Bacterial small subunit ribosomal RNA", at positions 29 to 507 of the family's 1533-position model. The record is from RNAcentral.
AGUGAACGCUGGCGGUAGGCCUAACACAUGCAAGUCGAACGGCAGCACAGUAAGAGCUUGCUCUUACGGGUGGCGAGUGGCGGACGGUUGAGGAAUACAUCGGAAUCUACUUUUUCGUGGGGGAUAACGUAGGGAAACUUACGCUAAUACCGCAUACGACCUACGGGUGAAAUCAUGGGAUCUUCGGACCUUGCGCGAUUGAAUGAGCCGAUGUCGGAUUAGCUAGUUGGCGGGGUAAAGGCCCACCAAGGCGACGAUCCGUAGCUGGUCUGAGAGGAUGAUCAGCCACACUGGAACUGAGACACGGUCCAGACUCCUACGGGAGGCAGCAGUGGGGAAUAUUGGACAAUGGGCGAAAGCCUGAUCCAGCCAUACCGCGUGGGUGAAGAAGGCCUUCGGGUUGUAAAGCCCUUUUGUUGGGAAAGAAAAGCAGCAGGUUAAUACCCCGCUGUUCUGACGGUACCCAAAGAAUAAGCACCGGCUAACUUCGUG